Molecule: ribosomal RNA, 495 nt
Filed under: uncultured bacterium
Lineage: Bacteria
Description: partial 16S ribosomal RNA
Rfam family: Bacterial small subunit ribosomal RNA
Source: RNAcentral
GACGAACGCUGGCGGCGUGCCUAAUACAUGCAAGUAGAACGCUGAAGGAGGAGCUUGCUUCUCCGGAUGAGUUGCGAACGGGUGAGUAACGCGUAGGUAACCUGCCUGGUAGCGGGGGAUAACUAUUGGAAACGAUAGCUAAUACCGCAUAAGAGUAGAUGUCGCAUGACAUUUGCUUAAAAGGUGCAACUGCACCACUAACAGAUGGACCUGCGUUGUAUUAGCUAGUUGGUGAGGUAACGGCUCACCAAGGCAACGAUACAUAGCCGACCUGAGAGGGUGAGCGGCCACACUGGGACUGAGACACGGCCCAGACUCCUACGGGAGGCAGCAGUAGGGAAUCUUCGGCAAUGGACGGAAGUCUGACCGAGCAACGCCGCGUGAGGGAAGAAGGGUUUCGGAUCGUAAAGCUCUGUUGUAAGAGAAGAACGAGUGUGAGAGUGGAAAGUUCACACUGUGACGGUAUCUUACCAGAAAGGGACGGCUAACUACGUG